GGUUUCAGCUGCUUGGAGGUGUGUCAGUUCAGGCUUCAGGGAGGCAGCAACAUUUGAUGUAAACAGAGGCUUGAAGGAUGAUCUUUAGGAGCUGGAGAAGGUGGCGUCUGUGAGUUCACUCAGGGUAUACCGUGUCACCAUGGGCUCUGGAGCCACCAGAAGGCAUGGAGUGGAUGACAGGAAGUCUUAGGCAAGUGAAUAAAGGUCUCCCCUAAGAUAAUGGGGCUUUCUGGGACAGGAUGGGAAGGACAGAUAGGCUUCUGGAAAGGGACUGCCCUGAGCUCUGGGCUCAGAAUGGCCUGUGUUUGCCCCAGCUCUGCCCAAGACCUAGAGAUAAAAACAAAAACAAAAACAAACAGGAGGCUGGGGGCACCUGGGUGGCUCAAUUGUUAAGCAUCUGACUUUGGCCCAGGUCUUGAUCUCACCAUUCUUGAGUUCAAGUUCCACAUCAGGGCUGCUGACAAAUUGGACAACAAACAGGUGGACAGAAUAGAAGAUGAAAAGUCUCCCUGGGGCCGAAGUCCAUUAUUGUGACUCAUCUUUUCAACGAUGAUUGGAUUUCAUCACAAAGUAGUUUUUUUUUUUUUUUUUCAGGACUUCUCUUGGACCCAUCUAUAAAAUGGAAACGCUAAUAGUUCCUCCUCGCAGGACUGCAGUGGAAAUGAAUUAAAUCAAUUCACAUAAGGUGUUUAGAACUGUGUAGUGUGUAGCUUAGCAUCCCCGAGCCUGGGCUUUCGGGGGUACCCUUAUACUAGUCUUUCGAAAGGCUGUGUUUUAACCAGCUAGUGAGGGGUUACUCCAGCAGGACCACUGUUGCAGGUUGGGGCCCCCAGGAAGCAGAGUCUGAUGCAGUUUAGCUUGCAAGGAGCUUAUUAGGGAGAGCCCUAAAGGUCAGCAGCUGUGGAAGGGAAGGGCCGGAGCAGAUGUGAGCAGAGAAAGCUACAGAGCAGACCCAAUCAGAGCCUUGGCCAGCCCCAUGGGGAGCUCCGGUGGCAGCUGACCUUGGGCAAGGCAGCUCUUUGCUGCUGAGCAGUGCCUCUGGGAGCUGGCAGGGGACGGCUGUCUGCAGGGCCGGCGGCCCCAGUAGCCAGGACAAUUCAUGGAAGGGGGUCUGGGCAGCACGUCACAGAGUCCACCACAAGCGCAGGUGGGGACACGGUGAGGCCAAUGUCGUAAGAGCUAUGACAGCAAGAGCCUCCUUAAAUUUGUGCUCUGGGUGUCUCAUUUGCCUCUCCUUCAUCCCAGGCCUGAUUAGUACCUGCCCUGUGAGAGGCAAAAAAAAAAAAAAAUCUUUGCACAGAAUAGCAACCUUACAGGGUUGAUGUGAUGAGACCGCAUGAAGUACCUGGGACAUGGCAGAAAUAAUUGAGAGCCGCUGUCCCCAUCCUCAUCAUCACUGUGCCAGCUCAGCUAAGUGUUCGACAGUCAUUGAUGAAUAAAUUAAAUGAACAGUCUGA
Long non-coding RNA from Neofelis nebulosa (Clouded leopard), 1457 nucleotides. RefSeq lists it as uncharacterized. The transcript has 4 exons. The record is from RefSeq and is a predicted model, not a curated record. NCBI's taxonomy places the organism in Eukaryota, Metazoa, Chordata, Mammalia, Carnivora, Felidae.